GUCGAACGGACUCUUCGGAGUUAGUGGCGGACGGGUGAGUAACGCGUGAGAAUCUGCCUUCAGGUCUGGGACAACAGAAGGAAACUUCUGCUAAUCCCGGAUGAGCCUUAGGGUAAAAGAUAAAUUGCCUGGAGAUGAGCUCGCGUCUGAUUAGCUAGUUGGUGUGGUAAAAGCAUACCAAGGCAACGAUCAGUAGCUGGUCUGAGAGGAUGAGCAGCCACACUGGGACUGAGACACGGCCCAGACUCCUGCGGGAGGCAGCAGUGGGGAAUUUUCCGCAAUGGGCGAAAGCCUGACGGAGCAAGACCGCGUGGGGGAGGAAGGCUCUAGGGUUGUAAACCCCUUUUCUUUGGGAAGAAGAUCUGACGGUACCAAAGGAAUCAGCCUCGGCUAACUCCGUGCCAGCAGCCGCGGUAAUACGGAGGAGGCAAGCGUUAUCCGGAAUGAUUGGGCGUAAAGCGUCCGUAGAUGGCCAUGUAAGUCUGCUGUCAAAACCCAGGGCUCAACUCUGGUCAGGCAGUGGAAACUACAAAGCUAGAGUUUGGUAGGGGCAAAGGGAAUUCCCGGUGUAGCGGUGAAAUGCGUAGAUAUCGGGAAGAACAUCGGUGGCGAAAGCGCUUUGCUAGACCAAAACUGACAUUGAGGGACGAAAGCUAGGGGAGCGAAUGGGAUUAGAUACCCCAGUAGUCCUAGCCGUAAACGAUGGAUACUAGGUGUUGCCUGUAUCGACCCAGGCAGUGCCGUAGCUAACGCGUUAAGUAU
RNAcentral lists this ribosomal RNA (762 nucleotides) under uncultured bacterium. RNAcentral's name for it is "bacterial SSU rRNA". It matches the Rfam family "Bacterial small subunit ribosomal RNA", at positions 61 to 867 of the family's 1533-position model. The record is from RNAcentral.